GAAAAACAAUUGAUGUCCAUACAGUGCCUCCCACCUCUGCAUAUGAGACAGAAUUGGAAAGAUGAAAUUCACGUGGUCUGUCUGGAAGUUCUGUGGAUGAUGAAGGCAUUUUUGGUCGUUAACAUCAUAAUUUACUUGAAGGAACAGUCUAUAGCCUCCCCUAUAUGCUUUCUGAGUAUAUCUCUGAUGUGAUGUGAAGGGCAAGUUGCCACUAAUUCAAGCAUAUCUCAUGUAGGGAGAAAUGUCUGCCAUGCUUGUGUCUCCGUAUGUACUUUUUUUUCCCUUUAUUUUGUGAAAAUUCUUCCAAACUUACAUACAACGUUAAUUGGUUAAUUGAAGAUUGCCUAGAUCUUAUCCUUCUUAUCUCGUGCAUUGAAACACUCUUCAGAAUGAAUCUCCAUA
Molecule: unclassified non-coding RNA, 402 nt
Filed under: Hevea brasiliensis (rubber tree)
Lineage: Eukaryota; Viridiplantae; Streptophyta; Magnoliopsida; Malpighiales; Euphorbiaceae
Source: RNAcentral